Molossus molossus (Pallas's mastiff bat) is the source of this 129-nucleotide small nucleolar RNA. RefSeq annotates it as small nucleolar RNA SNORA11. The record is from RefSeq and is a predicted model, not a curated record. NCBI's taxonomy places the organism in Eukaryota, Metazoa, Chordata, Mammalia, Chiroptera, Molossidae. The transcript has a single exon.
GGGGUGUGAUGAGAGCAGGGCGCCUGAAGCAUGGCUCCUCUGUGUAUAACACAUCCAACAGGAACUUGGGUUUCCUUCUCACAGGUGGCAGGAUGCUGUGACCUUCCUGUGACAUUGUACCCCAUACAU